AGCAGCCGCGGUAAUUCCAGCUCCAAUAGCGUAUAUUAAAGUUGUUGCAGUUAAAAAGCUCGUAGUUGAAUUUCGGGAUUGGCGCAUCGGUCGUGCCUUACGGGGUAUGAACUGGUGCAGUCAAUUUCUCACCUUCUGGAGAACCGCGAUGUCCUUAAUUGGGUGCCGCGGGGAACCAGGACCUUUACUUUGAAAAAAUUGAGUGUUUAAAGCAGGCAUUUUUUGCUUUGAAUACAUUAGCAUGGAAUAAUAAAAUAGGACGGCAUGGUUCUAUUUUGUUGGUUUCUAGGACCACCGUAAUGAUUAAUAGGGAUAGUUGGGGGCAUUAGUAUUCAAUUGUCAGAGGUGAAAUUCUUGGAUUUAUUGAAGACUAACUACUGCGAAAGCAUUUGCCAAGGAUGUUUUCAUUAAUCAAGACGAAAGUUGGGAUCGAAGACGAUCAGAUACCGUCGUAGUCUUAACCAUAAACUNUGCCGACUAGGAAUCAGACGAUGUUAAUUUUUAAUGUAACUUCGUUUGG
RNAcentral lists this ribosomal RNA (520 nucleotides) under uncultured Entrophospora. RNAcentral's name for it is "SSU rRNA". It matches the Rfam family "Eukaryotic small subunit ribosomal RNA", at positions 569 to 1083 of the family's 1831-position model. Lineage: Eukaryota; Fungi; Glomeromycota; Glomeromycetes; Entrophosporales; Entrophosporaceae. The record is from RNAcentral.